RNAcentral lists this ribosomal RNA (730 nucleotides) under Streptomyces sp. YIM 65648. RNAcentral describes it as "bacterial SSU rRNA". It matches the Rfam family "Bacterial small subunit ribosomal RNA", at positions 56 to 803 of the family's 1533-position model. Lineage: Bacteria; Bacillati; Actinomycetota; Actinomycetes; Kitasatosporales; Streptomycetaceae. The record is from RNAcentral.
UGCAAGUCGAACGAUGAAGCCCUUCGGGGUGGAUUAGUGGCGAACGGGUGAGUAACACGUGGGCAAUCUGCCCUGCACUCUGGGACAAGCCCUGGAAACGGGGUCUAAUACCGGAUGAUAUCCCCUCUCGCAUGGGAGGGGGUUGAAAGCUCCGGCGGUGCAGGAUGAGCCCGCGGCCUAUCAGCUAGUUGGUGAGGUAGAAGCUCACCAAGGCGACGACGGGUAGCCGGCCUGAGAGGGCGACCGGCCACACUGGGACUGAGACACGGCCCAGACUCCUACGGGAGGCAGCAGUGGGGAAUAUUGCACAAUGGGCGAAAGCCUGAUGCAGCGACGCCGCGUGAGGGAUGACGGCCUUCGGGUUGUAAACCUCUUUCAGCAGGGAAGAAGCGAAAGUGACGGUACCUGCAGAAGAAGCGCCGGCUAACUACGUGCCAGCAGCCGCGGUAAUACGUAGGGCGCAAGCGUUGUCCGGAAUUAUUGGGCGUAAAGAGCUCGUAGGCGGCUUGUCACGUCGGUUGUGAAAGCCCGGGGCUUAACCCCGGGUCUGCAGUCGAUACGGGCAGGCUAGAGUGUGGUAGGGGAGAUCGGAAUUCCUGGUGUAGCGGUGAAAUGCGCAGAUAUCAGGAGGAACACCGGUGGCGAAGGCGGAUCUCUGGGCCAUUACUGACGCUGAGGAGCGAAAGCGUGGGGAGCGAACAGGAUUAGAUACCCUGGUAGUCCACGCCGU